GACAAAAAAAAAAAAACAUUUUUAAGGGUCUAAGUCUGCUGGAUAAUGGAAUGCCUGCUUAAUCUGGAAGCCAGCCACUCCACUGUGUCAGAGGAAACACCGUACACCUGGCGAAUGUGUCAGCGUGCAUGCACCUGGCCCGCUAGAGCAUGAUGGGACAAGGACAUCCCUGCGGGCCAAAACCCUCCCCUAACCUGGACAACGCUGGGCCAAUUGUGUGCCGCCCCAUGGGUCUCCCGGUCGCGGUCUUGUGGCACAGCUAGCAACUGCGAUGCACUAAUAUGAGGAAAUAUAUUUUCGUAUAUAAACUGACGGCCAAAUUAUGACACAAAUCAUUUGAACUGCGAGGCUGGUAACUCUAAUGAACUUAUCCUCUGCAGCAGAGGUAACUCUGGGUCUUCCUUUCCUGUGGUGGUCCUCAUGACAGCCAGGUAACUCUAAUGAACGUGUCCUCUGCAGCAGAGGUAACUCUGGGUCUUCCUUUCCUGUGGUGGUCCUCAUGACAGCCAGGUAACUCUAAUGAACGUGUCCUCUGCAGCAGAGGUAACUCUGGGUCUUCCUUUCCUGUGGUGGUCCUCAUGACAGCCAGGUAACUCUAAUGAACGUGUCCUCUGCAGCAGAGGUAACUCUGGGUCUUCCUUUCCUGUGGUGGUCCUCAUGAGAGCCAGGUAACUCUAAUGAACGUGUCCUCUGCAGCAGAGGUAACUCUGGGUCUUCCUUUCCUGUGGUGGUCCUCAUGAGAGCCAGGUAACUCUAAUGAACGUGUCCUCUGCAGCAGAGGUAACUCUGGGUCUUCCUUUCAUAGUGCUUGACGUUUUUUGCAAUUGCACAUGAAGAAACCUUUAAAAAGUUCUUGAAAUUUUCCAGAUUGACUGACCUUCAUGUCUUAAAGUAGUGAUGGAUUGUCGUAUCUCUUUGCUUAUUUGAGCUCUUCUUGCCAUAAUGUAGACUUGAGCUGUGUUUGAAUACCCAUUCUAACAUAGUGUAUACUACAUAUUUAAUGAGUAUAUACUACAUACUAUUAGUUCAUUUUAGUAUACUGGAAACGAAUGGUAUCCUUUCAGUUGAGCUACGCCUGUCUACCGGAAAGUUGAUGCUUUCGCUAUGCAACCGCUUGUUAUUUUAACAAAUUGCUAGCUAAACAUUUUACGAUUUCGGGUUUGUUCGUAAAUUCAGACUCUCGGAGCGUUCAGAGCGCACACUGGACUGGCGGAGGAGCUACGGUUGAUCCGAGGGUUCAACCGGCAGUCAAGCACUGGCUAACGUUGGCUAGUUAUUCCAGACACAUCAUGAGAGAACACCUCACUCUGACCAUUUUACUCCCCCAAUCAGAGCUGGUUAGGUUGUUUGUGUUAUCCAGAGCGUUGGUGACUAAAUGUGCUGCUGGCAACAAUUUAAUUACGCUUUUUUUUUGCUGAUGUUUACUGACACCGGCCAUAUUCAACAGGUGUUGAAUGUUUGUAAAUUCAUCAGUUAUUCUGCGGGAGAAAUCAGAGUAGAUAGCUAAGUGGUAAAGUUGUACGAUUCAAUGGCUAAUGAUGUCAAUAAACGUUGUUGGGUAGUUUAGUUAAUAUACUGCCUGGCAUGUUCGAUGUAUUAGUAGCUAGCUAACAUACCGGUACAUACUGCUGUAAUGCUAAUGCGGUUCGUAAGGACAGCAUAGCUAACAAAUUGUCAGCCAACAUAACGUGUAACGUAUUUGAAAAGGCAUUACUUUAUUACAUAUUUCAAUUUUCUUAACAUAUGUUUAUAAGCAAUGAAUUUGUGUCUGACUUUGGCUGCAUAUUUUCCACCAUUUUUAAUCUAAUCUGAAAACACGAAGCCACGCCCAUUUUCUGAAUAAUUGCAUUAUGGGUCCUAUAAGCAUGGAAAUAGUGUCCACUGCACGUAUACUUAGUAUUUUGGCGAAUUUAGUACGUCAUCCGGGAGCUUUUGGCAUACUAACCUAUGACCAAUAAGUAUACUAUAUACUCAAUUCACUUCACAAAUAGUAGUGUUAGGGAAGUCAGUAGAAGUAUUCAAACACAGCUUUGGUCUUACCAAAUAGGGAUCUUUCUGUAUACCACCCCUACCUUGUCACAGCACAACUGAUUGGCUUAAACAAGGCACACCUGUUAAUUGAAAUGCAUUCCAGGUGACUACCUCGUGAAGCUGGUUGAGAGAAUGCAACGAGUGUGCAAAGUUGUCAUUAAGCCAAAAGGUGGCUAC
Molecule: long non-coding RNA, 2208 nt
Organism: Oncorhynchus tshawytscha (Chinook salmon)
Lineage: Eukaryota; Metazoa; Chordata; Actinopteri; Salmoniformes; Salmonidae
Source: Ensembl